RNAcentral lists this long non-coding RNA (1466 nucleotides) under Linum usitatissimum (flax). RNAcentral describes it as "long non-coding RNA (LUSI_LNC002726)". The record is from RNAcentral. Lineage: Eukaryota; Viridiplantae; Streptophyta; Magnoliopsida; Malpighiales; Linaceae.
GAAGCAAUCAAGCCACAAACGCUACAUUCAAACAAGGAACAAAGAUCAUUUGGUAACUAGCAACCAAUUUUCAUAAACUUUGGGCUCAGUUUGGUAAAAGAGCUCGGCAAGUAAUUUGCACAGGAGAUUACAGUAAUCCAGAACUGUUCAGACUACAUACACAAAAUGCAUAACUACGAGUGAAUCUCAUCAUAAUUACAACGCUAUUAGCACUACUGAAAUGGCUUUCAGCUUCAAUCGAUGUUAAUGCCGCAAAGCAAGAAUCUUUAUCCAUCAUCAUCACUACAAGAUACCUCACAUUGUGCUUCACGAAUCUUUUAGAGCCUCGGAUUGUAAUUCCUACAAUUCGAAGUUCCUGCCUUCAACCUCCAUUGGACAUUUAAGCAGCCAACAAUUCACUUCAACCUCCGCCAAUUUUCCUGUAACAAAAAUUUGUAGAGAAGGACCUGAACUCCCUAACAACUUAAAGGGUCAAAUAACAGAAUAAAAAUAAAUCAAUAGUUUGAAUCAUAUGAUGAGUUUAAAUGUGAACAGCAAAUAAGUAACAGAAGGCCUGUUGAGAAUCCGGCCAACGGUGUCGCAACUGUCCUCUUAUGAUCUAUGCCCGUAUAAACGAAAUGUCCAGUUACCAUAUCAACUCUGGACAUCAGAUACCAUAGGCAAACAUACAAGUAAUGAUGAAUUAAAAAGAAAGAUUUGAACAUUAUUGGAAGAAUGAAGUGCAAUCUCAGCCGAAAGAUGGUGAAUUUGUUAAUAAUCACGAGUUAUUCAGUGAUGGAACAAUUAAAUUGCAUCACAGAUUGCAGGAUUUCAAUUCCAAUCAAACAUUGAUUUGAAACAGAAACCAAAAUCAGUAAAUGAAGCACAAGCAAGAGAGAUCAGAUGGUAGUGCAUGUAAUAUGAUCAUCAUCCAAAUACAGAAAUGGUGGAUACAUAUCCUCACAUCUCCCUUGCAAAACACUACAUCAGAUUCAAAAACUGUCAUUCAAAAUUCAAAUAAAUAACAGAAAAGCAUCGUCCUUUCUCCAUGAAGGGAUCAGAGAUACGUCAAAUCACCAGCUUCCAUAAGGAAGUAAGACUGGGUGUCAUAACAAUACAUCAUCACAUCCCAUUCAAAUGAAAAUAAAAAUAAAACAUUAAACCAGCUGAAAUCAAAGCUAGAAAAUUAGAUUUUGAAGUACACAGGAUCAGACAGAUAUGUCAAUCACCAUCUCGCAAAAGAAUUGCGAGUAAGACUGGGGCGACAAAAUUCAAUCAUCAUUUUCACAAACUUGAAAUCUAGAUUGGAGAAAGAGGAUUACAGCGAUGAACACCAUAGCCGCCGCUGGUUAUAGCCGCCGAUGGUUUGGAAGUUUCAGAUCAAGCUCUGGCAAUGCAUAUAUAUAAGCUGGACUAGGGUUUUUUUCAGAUUGGGAGAUUUGGGUUUUAUGAAGAUCGCCAACCCGGAAAAUAAUGCAGAGCGGUUU